RNAcentral lists this ribosomal RNA (426 nucleotides) under uncultured bacterium. RNAcentral's name for it is "bacterial SSU rRNA". It matches the Rfam family "Bacterial small subunit ribosomal RNA", at positions 917 to 1344 of the family's 1533-position model. The record is from RNAcentral.
GGGCCCGCACAAGCGGUGGAGCAUGUGGUUUAAUUCGAUGAUACGCGAGGAACCUUACCAGGGCUUAAAUGUUAGGUGACAGAUCUAGAAAUAGAUUUUUCUUCGGACACUUAACAAGGUGCUGCAUGGUUGUCGUCAGCUCGUGCCGUGAGGUGUCAGGUUAAGUCCUAUAACGAGCGCAACCCCUGUUGUUAGUUGCCAGCGAGUAAUGUCGGGAACUCUAGCAAGACUGCCAGUGCAAACUGUGAGGAAGGUGGGGAUGACGUCAAAUCAUCACGGCCCUUACGUCCUGGGCUACACACGUGCUACAAUGGUAGGUACAGAGAGCAGCCAAUGCGCGAGCAUGAGCAAAUCCCUUAAAAACCGUUCGUAGUCCAGAUUGGAGUCUGCAACUCGACUCCAUGAAGUAGGAAUCGCUAGUAAUCG